GUUGUGCGAUAGACUUACCUCCACGUGGUGCACAAUGGGCAACGUUUAAUCAUACGGCGAAAACGCCUUU
RNAcentral lists this ribozyme (70 nucleotides) under Rodentolepis nana. RNAcentral's name for it is "Hymenolepis nana HDV ribozyme from F. prausnitzii". It matches the Rfam family "HDV ribozyme from F. prausnitzii". The record is from Rfam by way of RNAcentral. Lineage: Eukaryota; Metazoa; Platyhelminthes; Cestoda; Cyclophyllidea; Hymenolepididae.